UACAGAGACCUCAAGCGUUAUCCGGAAUCAUUGGGCGUAAAGCGUACCGAUAGGUGGUCUUGAAAGUCAGAUGUGAAAUGACGAAGCUUAACUUCGUUACUGUCAUUUGAAACUUCAGGACUAGAGGGGCAAAGGAGGAAGCUGGAACAAACGGUGUAGUAGUGAAAUGCGUUGAUAUCGUUUGGAACACCAAUAGCGUAGGCAGGCUUCUGGGUGCCACCUGACACUGCGUAGGACGAAAGCGUGGGGAGCGAAGUCGGG
Molecule: ribosomal RNA, 261 nt
Filed under: uncultured bacterium
Lineage: Bacteria
Description: partial 16S ribosomal RNA
Rfam family: Bacterial small subunit ribosomal RNA
Source: RNAcentral